AAGACUGUGCUUCACAGGAUCAUUUCUGUAGGCAAGUUUUUUUUUCCGAAAGGAAAAGAUUUCCACCCACGAUGAGGAGACGCAGUGUCCAGCUUGGAGCGUGAAACUUGGUUGAGAUUUGGUCUAUCUGUUUCAGAUAGAUCGCUCUUCCGCAAGGUUUGGACGCAUUCCUAAG
Molecule: small nucleolar RNA, 175 nt
Organism: Ochlerotatus camptorhynchus
Lineage: Eukaryota; Metazoa; Arthropoda; Insecta; Diptera; Culicidae
Product: small nucleolar RNA U3
Exons: 1
Source: RefSeq, a predicted model, not a curated record